This is a non-coding RNA of Pelobates cultripes (western spadefoot toad), 296 nucleotides long. The record is from the annotation of a GenBank genome assembly. Lineage: Eukaryota; Metazoa; Chordata; Amphibia; Anura; Pelobatidae.
AAUCGCGGGGAUCACGGGGUUAACACUUCUCUGCUCUGCCUCUGUAUUAGAUACACACCGGGAGCGCCCGAUCGCACUGCCCCUGCAGCAGUGAUCGCUCUGACAGGCUGUAAGAGCGAGCACAGGUGCUGCAGGGACUCACAAUCCGCCUCCCUGCACUUCACACCGACCGCGGAAGUGCAGGGAGGCGGAUCACUGCUGAUCUUCUCCCUGUGUAAAAAAAAAAAAAAGUUAAAGUUAAAUCCCACCCCCCUUUUCCCCUGCUUUAAUAAAAUCAACCCCUUCCCUGCCAAUUG